This 253-nucleotide ribosomal RNA is filed under the name uncultured bacterium. RNAcentral's name for it is "partial 16S ribosomal RNA". It matches the Rfam family "Bacterial small subunit ribosomal RNA", at positions 524 to 776 of the family's 1533-position model. The record is from RNAcentral.
UACGUAGGGGGCAAGCGUUGUCCGGAAUCAUUGGGCGUAAAGAGCGCGUAGGCGGUCCGGUAAGUCGGUUGUGAAAACUGGAGGCUCAACCUUCAGAGGUCGACCGAAACCAUCUGGCUAGAGUCCGGGAGAGGAGAGUGGAAUUCCUGGUGUAGCGGUGAAAUGCGCAGAUAUCAGGAAGAACACCCGUGGCGAAAGCGGCUCUCUGGAACGGUACUGACGCUGAGACGCGAAAGCGUGGGGAGCGAACAGG